RNAcentral lists this ribosomal RNA (372 nucleotides) under uncultured organism. Its description in RNAcentral is "partial 16S ribosomal RNA". It matches the Rfam family "Bacterial small subunit ribosomal RNA", at positions 527 to 896 of the family's 1533-position model. The record is from RNAcentral.
GUAGGGUGCAAGCGUUAAUCGGAAUUACUGGGCGUAAAGCGUGCGCAGGCGGUUUUGGUAAGUCUGUCGUGAAAGCCCCGGGGCUUAACCUGGGGAAUUGCGAUGGAGACUGCAAGGCUUGAAUCUGGCAGAGGGGGGUAGAAUUCCACGUGUAGCAGUGAAAUGCGUAGAGAUGUGGAGGAACACCGAUGGCGAAGGCAGCCCCCUGGGUCAAGAUUGACGCUCAUGCACGAAAGCGUGGGGAGCAAACAGGAUUAGAUACCCUGGUAGUCCACGCCCUAAACGAUGUCUACUAGUUGUCGGGUCUUAAUUGACUUGGUAACGCAGCUAACGCGUGAAGUAGACCGCCUGGGGAGUACGGUCGCAAGAUUA